RNAcentral lists this long non-coding RNA (693 nucleotides) under Phascolarctos cinereus (koala). Its description in RNAcentral is "lncRNA (ENSPCIG00000027331.2)". The record is from RNAcentral. Lineage: Eukaryota; Metazoa; Chordata; Mammalia; Diprotodontia; Phascolarctidae.
AAAAUGUAUUAGCAGGAAAAAGCUGAGCUUUAUUGUGGUUAUUUUGAGAACUAAACCUGGGGAUGGCAGAAAAUGGGAUGGAGAACAGAAAUGUACCUGCAAGUGCUUACUUAGAUGAAAUAUCAUUCCAAAUGCCUUUAUUAAAUGGAAAAUCCCUCUAUCAGGCAAUACUCAAAUCCUUUCCAAUCUUUGAGUAUUGUUGGAGUACAAGCUCACCAUCUAUUAAUGUUAUUGCUUAAUUAUAAGCUUAUAGUCGGGUAUUGCGGUCAUGCCAUAAACCUGUCUCAAGUCAAGAUUGCACUUUUAUUACAGGAUCUAAUUCAGAAGUGUGAAGAGGACCUUUGUCAGCUGUCAAAAAGAUGUGAUGAAAUGAAGAAACUCUAUGGUGACAUUCCGGAGCAGUUUGGGGAACGGCCAGACCAGGACUCCCAAGAACUCUUUGGAUGGAUAUCUGCCUUUGUUAGAGAAUUUAGAAAAGCCCAAUCAGAUCUGAAUCUUCAAGUGCUGAAGUAGCCAUCACAGCAACUCUUCCUCUUUCUCAUCAGUUAUGGGCCUGUGAUCAUGGAAUGCUUUAUCGAUGCUUUUGCUUUAUCUAUGCUGUUUAUGAAGAUGUCACUAAAAUGGUGCCAUAUUUCCCCUCAGUAAUGUUCUUAUGUUCAUUGAAUUAAAGAUGAAGGUCAUCAGUGGGCCAGC